Molecule: ribosomal RNA, 316 nt
Filed under: uncultured bacterium
Lineage: Bacteria
Description: bacterial SSU rRNA
Rfam family: Bacterial small subunit ribosomal RNA
Source: RNAcentral
AACGAACGCUGGCGGCAUGCCUAACACAUGCAAGUCGAACGAGACCUUCGGGUCUAGUGGCGCACGGGUGCGUAACACGUGGGAAUUUGCCUCGGGGUAUGGAAUAACUCAGGGAAACUUGAGCUAAUACCAUAUAAUGUCUUCGGACCAAAGAUUUAUCGCCCUGAGAUAAGCCCGCGUAGGAUUAGCUAGUUGGUGGGGUAAAGGCUCACCAAGGCGACGAUCCUUAGCUGGUCUGAGAGGAUGAUCAGCCACACUGGGACUGAGACACGGCCCAGACUCCUACGGGAGGCAGCAGUGGGGAAUAUUGGACAAU